This 253-nucleotide ribosomal RNA is filed under the name uncultured bacterium. RNAcentral's name for it is "partial 16S ribosomal RNA". It matches the Rfam family "Bacterial small subunit ribosomal RNA", at positions 524 to 776 of the family's 1533-position model. The record is from RNAcentral.
GACAGAGGUGCCGAGCGUUAGGCGGAAUCACUGGGCUUAAAGCGUGUGUAGGCGGAUCGUUAAGUGCCUUGUGAAAUCCCACGGCUCAAGCGUGGAACUGCUUGGCAUACUGGCGAUCUUGAGCCACUUAGGGGCUACCGGAACAAAUGGUGGAGCGGUGAAAUGCGUAGAUAUCAUUUGGAACGCCAAUGGUGAAAACAGGUAGCUGGGAGUGUGCUGACGCUGAGACACGAAAGCCAGGGGAGCAAACGGG